RNAcentral lists this non-coding RNA (29 nucleotides) under Mus musculus (house mouse). Lineage: Eukaryota; Metazoa; Chordata; Mammalia; Rodentia; Muridae. The record is from RNAcentral.
UCUGAAGAGGGAAACAAAGAAGCCAGCAA